RNAcentral lists this ribosomal RNA (468 nucleotides) under uncultured bacterium. RNAcentral's name for it is "partial 16S ribosomal RNA". It matches the Rfam family "Bacterial small subunit ribosomal RNA", at positions 28 to 507 of the family's 1533-position model. The record is from RNAcentral.
GACGAACGCUGGCGGCGUGCUUAACACAUGCAAGUCGAACGGAAAGGCCCUGCUUUUGUGGGGUGCUCGAGUGGCGAACGGGUGAGUAACACGUGAGUAACCUGCCCUUGACUUUGGGAUAACUUCAGGAAACUGGGGCUAAUACCGGAUAGGAGCUCCUGCUGCAUGGUGGGGGUUGGAAAGUUUCGGCGGUUGGGGAUGGACUCGCGGCUUAUCAGCUUGUUGGUGGGGUAGUGGCUUACCAAGGCUUUGACGGGUAGCCGGCCUGAGAGGGUGACCGGCCACAUUGGGACUGGGAUACGGCCCAGACUCCUACGGGAGGCAGCAGUGGGGAAUAUUGCACAAUGGGCGGAAGCCUGAUGCAGCAACGCAGCGUGCGGGAUGACGGCCUGCGGGUUGUAAUCCGCUUUCGCCUGUGACGAAGCGUGAGUGACGGUAAUGGGUAAAGAAGCACCGGCUAACUACGUG